AAGCGAAACAAAAGCACGGCUCAGGUCGUGCUUUUGUCUACUUAGUGUCGUGACUAAGUACUGACGAGCAGCGAGAU
RNAcentral lists this non-coding RNA (77 nucleotides) under Acinetobacter nectaris. Lineage: Bacteria; Pseudomonadati; Pseudomonadota; Gammaproteobacteria; Moraxellales; Moraxellaceae. RNAcentral also lists the same sequence under 1 other name. The record is from RNAcentral.